GACGAACGCUGGCGGCGUGCUUAACACAUGCAAGUCGAACGGAAAGGCCCUGCUUUUGUGGGGUGCUCGAGUGGCGAAAGGGUGAGUAACACGUGAGUAACCUGCCCUUGACUUUGGGAUAACUUCAGGAAACUGGGGCUAAUACCGGAUAGGAGCUCCUGCUGCAUGGUGGGGGUUGGACAGUUUCGGCGGUUGGGGAUGGACUCGCGGCUUAUCAGCUUGUUGGUGGGGUAGUGGCUUACCAAGGCUUUGACGGGUAGCCGGCCUGAGAGGGUGACCGGCCACAUUGGGACUGAGAUACGGCCCAGACUCCUACGGGAGGCAGCAGUGGGGAAUAUUGCACAAUGGGCGGAAGCCUGAUGCAGCAACGCCGCGUGCGGGAUGACGGCCUUCGGGUUGUAAACCGCUUUCGCCUGUGACGAAGCGUGAGUGACGGUAAUGGGUAAAGAAGCACCGGCUAACUACGUG
This 468-nucleotide ribosomal RNA is filed under the name uncultured bacterium. RNAcentral's name for it is "partial 16S ribosomal RNA". It matches the Rfam family "Bacterial small subunit ribosomal RNA", at positions 28 to 507 of the family's 1533-position model. The record is from RNAcentral.